This is a long non-coding RNA of Globicephala melas (long-finned pilot whale), 2481 nucleotides long. RefSeq lists it as uncharacterized. NCBI's taxonomy places the organism in Eukaryota, Metazoa, Chordata, Mammalia, Artiodactyla, Delphinidae. The record is from RefSeq and is a predicted model, not a curated record.
GUCCGGGACUGAUGCUGGGAGGUGGGCUUGUUCUUUGCUCUGACAGUUGUUUCCCUAAUAGUGUAUCCUAGGCCUGAACUCCUCUGAGCAGGAUCGUAAUUGGAGACAGAAAUUACAAGCUUAUCUGAGCCCAGCCUGACAAACAACAUCUGCUAAUUGGUAUAACACCAUGUGGUUGUCAAAAGGGUGAAAGGAAUUGAUGAAGGAUGCCAGUUGAUUCAGGCCAAGGAAAUGUGACCAUCACUGUCUAAGGCCAUUGUGUUCUUCUGGUGAGUUUGAAUCCUUUCCUAAGAAGAGGGCAGGAGAUGGAGCUCAGCAAGAUGUAGCCUCAGCUGGAGUCUACCUCAGCUUGUUCUGGGGAGCCCUGGAGCAGGAAUGAUGUCUCAGGGUUGUCCCAGUUUGAGGCAAGGCUUAGUAACUCUGCUUCAGCCCUGCAUGGGCUAAUCUUCCAGGCAUCUCUGGCUCUUGGAGGCUCCAUUGACCAUGGACAACCCUCCCAGAGAAGGGGGUAGCUGUGAGCAGUUAAUGACCAACACCAGAAGCAGUUGGACUGGAUGCACCAGCUGGCAAAAAAGAACUGGAGAAGGCAGCUACUAUUCUGUGGAGGUGAGAAUGGCCAUGGUGCACUGGGACCCAGUGAGGAGAGCAGGCAUGUUUGAGGAGAUGAGGUACAGUAAGGAGUAGUGAGUAAGAUUGGUUCAAGUUCUAGAGCUGAGAGAAAUGGAGAGGGAUUAAUGAGCAAUACUAAGGACCCUGUUGGAAUGGUGACCAUGAAUUUACCAUGAUAUGAUUAUGUGUGAUUUCAUGGAGAAAGCCAACACUUGGGUUCAUCUAAAGAUGUAUUUUGCCAGAGAGAGGUACAAGAGAGUUGAGGGUGUUGGCAAAAUGGGAUCGGGAGGGAAGUGAAGACAGUGAUCUAAUGGAUAGAAAGGUGAGAAAAGGAUCAAAGAUCCCAAAAUAGUCAGAAUAGUGCUCGUGGGAGUCACUGAGCAAGUAAGAUGGAAGGAAAGGAGGGUGUCUCCACCAGCCGUUUUGGAAAUGGAGCAGAUGCCAGUGAUAGAGGAGUCCCAGAUGGGACUAUGGGAGUGGAUCCCAAAGAGAGCUCAAGGAGACCUCUGCAGAGAGGACUCAGACCUACAUUGGGUCAUCUGUGUCCCCGUGGGAGUCACCUAGGAUAGUGUCAUGGCAGAGGCAGGAGAAAGGCUAGGAUCUAGGAGCUGGGGCCUGCUCUUGAUGAACAGGAGAGACCAAGAGGUCAGAGAUGGCAGAGAAUGAGAAAGGUGAUUUCAGUGGGAAGAGUCCCCAAAAAGUAGAACUUCUUUUUUCUUGUUAAUUUUAGACUAUUACCUUUUUUUUUUUUUUUAAGAAGAUGUUGGGGGUAGGAGUUUAUUUAUUUAUUUUUGCUGUGUUGGGUCUUCGUUUCUGUGCGAGGGCUUUCUCUAGUUGUGGCAAGCGGGGGCCGCUCUUCAUCGCGGUGCGCAGGCCUCUCACUAUCGCGGCCUCUCUUGUUGCAGAGCACAGGCUCCAGAUGCACAGGCUCAGUAGUUGUGGCUCACGGGCCUAGUUGCUCCGUGGCAUGUGGGAUCCUCCCAGACCAAGGCUCGAACCCGUGUCCCCUGCAUUAGCAGGCAGAUUCUCAACCACUGAGCCACCAGGGAAGCCCCUCUUGUUAAUUUUAAUAUAAAAUUUUGCUUGCGUAUUUUUAAUUGGACAGUAGGUAAAUGAUUACAUUCCUUUUUAAAAAAUUUAUAAAUUAUAAAUAAGGCCAAAGUUUCUUACCACCCCAGCCACAGCCCCAAUCCUUUUGCCCUGUCCCUAUAGGCAGCUAGCUGUCUCCCCCGAAACGUUUUCCAUAUGCAAGCACACCCCCUUACACGCACGGAAUAGUAUAUAGUAUUGUUUUUAGUGUAUGGGUGUGUGCUUCAGAAUAAAUGGUUUCAUACUCUAUAUACUUACUGUCUUAUAAUUUACGUUUUUCCCUCAGCACGAUGUCUUAGAGAUCUAAGAUACCAUGUUUUAGAAAAUGAGCAGACUUAUUGUUUUAUUUUGCUACAUAGUAUUAUAUAAUGUGAAUUUACUAAAUUUAUUGAGGUUUUCUCAUGUCAAUGGAUUCUUAGGUGAUUUCUAGUCUGGGCUAUUACCAGCGAUGUUGCUGUGUACAUUCGUGUACAGUUUUUUUUGUACACAUGAUAAAUGUUACAAAAGUGCAUCCAAAACACCUGUAUAUGUUUCUGUUAUGAAUGUGAUCUGCUGCAAUAAACAGAAAACUCAUUAAACAAAUAAGUGUUGUUGGGUUUUUUCACUUCUUUUCUGAAGGUAAGGAGUUACUGGGAUUGGUUUAGUUGUGUGGUGAUGCACCCCGAGAUCCAGGCUCUCGAAAUUUUCACUCUGCCAGCCUUAGUGUAUUGUCCAGUAUCCUCAUCCUUGGUGCCUCAUACUCACCAUAUGUGGUUGCUGUGGCUCUGGACAACACUUCUGGAU